Molecule: transfer RNA, 66 nt
Filed under: bovine gut metagenome
Rfam family: tRNA
About the family: Transfer RNA (tRNA) molecules are approximately 80 nucleotides in length. Their secondary structure includes four short double-helical elements and three loops (D, anti-codon, and T loops). Further hydrogen bonds mediate the characteristic L-shaped molecular structure. tRNAs have two regions of fundamental functional importance: the anti-codon, which is responsible for specific mRNA codon recognition, and the 3' end, to which the tRNAs corresponding amino acid is attached (by aminoacyl-tRNA synthetases). tRNAs cope with the degeneracy of the genetic code in two manners: having more than one tRNA (with a specific anti-codon) for a particular amino acid; and 'wobble' base-pairing, i.e. permitting non-standard base-pairing at the 3rd anti-codon position.
Source: RNAcentral
ACCGUAGCUCAGUUGGUAGAGCAGAGGACUGAAAAUCCUCGUGUCACUGGUUCGAUUCCCGUCGGU